This 668-nucleotide small RNA is filed under the name Pan troglodytes (chimpanzee). RNAcentral describes it as "processed transcript". Lineage: Eukaryota; Metazoa; Chordata; Mammalia; Primates; Hominidae. The record is from RNAcentral.
GACUGUUCUCCACAGUGGCUGCCCCAUUUUACCUUCCCGCCAGCAGUGUUGGAGGGUUCCACCUUUUCAUCGUGGCUAGCACUGAUGCAGAGGCCGUGAAGAAGGCAGCCUUGGAAAAGAAGGAGGAGGAGCUGGUGAGCGAGCGCACAGAAGCCUUCACUAUUGCCCGCAACCUCCUGACAGCGGCUGCAGAUGCCAUUGAGCGGAUCAUGUCGUCGUACAAGGAGGUGACGGAGCUGGCUGGCUACACAGCCCGGGUGCACGAGAUGUUCCAGGUAUUUGAAGAUGUUCACCGCUGUCACUUCAAGAGGCCCAGGGAGCUAGAGGAUGCUCAGGCGGGGUCUGGGACCAUAGGCCGGUCUGGUGUCCGCGUGGAGGGCCCCCUGAAGAUCCGAGGCCAGGUGGUGGAUGUGGAACAGGGGAUCAUCUGCGAGAACAUCCCCAUCGUCACGCCCUCAGGAGAGGUGGUGGUGGCCAGCCUCAACAUCAGGGUGGAGGAAGGCAUGCAUCUGCUCAUCACGGGCCCCAAUGGCUGCGGCAAGAGCUCCCUGUUCCGGAUCCUGGGUGGGCUCUGGCCCACGUACGGUGGUGUGCUCUACAAGCCCCCACCCCAGCGCAUGUUCUACAUCCCGCAGAGGCCCUACAUGUCUGUGGGCUCCCUGCGUGAC